ACUGAUGUAUUCAACGAGUUUAUAGCCUUGGCCGAAAGUCCCGGGUAAUCUUUGAAAUUUCAUCGUGAUGGGGAUAGAUCAUUGCAAUUGUUGGUCUUUAAC
Nicotiana attenuata is the source of this 102-nucleotide ribosomal RNA. It matches the Rfam family "Eukaryotic small subunit ribosomal RNA", at positions 1502 to 1604 of the family's 1831-position model. NCBI's taxonomy places the organism in Eukaryota, Viridiplantae, Streptophyta, Magnoliopsida, Solanales, Solanaceae. The record is from Rfam.